RNAcentral lists this ribosomal RNA (483 nucleotides) under uncultured bacterium. RNAcentral describes it as "partial 16S ribosomal RNA". It matches the Rfam family "Bacterial small subunit ribosomal RNA", at positions 30 to 507 of the family's 1533-position model. The record is from RNAcentral.
AUUGAACGCUGGCGGAAUGCUUUACACAUGCAAGUCGAACGAUGAACCUUAGCUUGCUCAGGGGAUUAGUGGCGAACGGGUGAGUAAUAUAUCGGAACGUGCCUUGUAAUGGGGGAUAACUAGUCGAAAGAUUAGCUAAUACCGCAUACGCCCUGAGGGGGAAAGUAGGGGAUCUUCGGACCUUACGUUAUAAGAGCGGCCGAUAUCUGAUUAGCUAGUUGGUGGGUAAUGGCCUACCAAGGCGACGAUCAGUAGCUGGUCUGAGAGGACGACCAGCCACACUGGAACUGAGACACGGUCCAGACUCCUACGGGAGGCAGCAGUGGGGAAUUUUGGACAAUGGGCGCAAGCCUGAUCCAGCCAUUCCGCGUGAGUGAAGAAGGCCUUCGGGUUGUAAAGCUCUUUCGCAAGGGAAGAAAACUUACCAUCGAAUAAAUGGUGAGGCUGACGGUACCUUGAUAAGAAGCACCGGCUAACUACGUG